This 460-nucleotide ribosomal RNA is filed under the name uncultured bacterium. RNAcentral describes it as "partial 16S ribosomal RNA". It matches the Rfam family "Bacterial small subunit ribosomal RNA", at positions 338 to 795 of the family's 1533-position model. The record is from RNAcentral.
CCUACGGGUGACAGCAGUGAGGAAUAUUGGUCAAUGGACGAGAGUCUGAACCAGCCAAGUAGCGUGAAGGAUGACUGCCCUAUGGGUUGUAAACUUCUUUUAUAAAGGAAUAAAACGAGGCACGUGUGCCUUUUUGCAUGUACUUUAUGAAUAAGGAUCGGCUAACUCCGUGCCAGCAGCCGCGGUAAUACGGAGGAUCCGAGCGUUAUCCGGAUUUAUUGGGUUUAAAGGGAGCGUAGAUGGGUUGUUAAGUCAGUUGUGAAAGUUUGCGGCUCAACCGUAAAAUUGCAAUUGAUACUGGCAGUCGUGAGUACAGUUGAGGUAGGCAGAAUUCGUGGUGUAGCGGUGAAAUGCUUAGAUAUCACGAAGAACCCCGAUUGCGAAGGCAGCUUACUAAACUGUGACUGACAUUGAUGCUCGAAAGUGUGGGUAUCAAACAGGAUUAGAUACCCUUGUAGUC